This 409-nucleotide ribosomal RNA is filed under the name uncultured bacterium. RNAcentral describes it as "bacterial SSU rRNA". It matches the Rfam family "Bacterial small subunit ribosomal RNA", at positions 541 to 952 of the family's 1533-position model. The record is from RNAcentral.
UUAUCCGGAUUUAUUGGGUUUAAAGGGAGCGUAGGCGGACGUUUAAGUCAGUUGUGAAAGUUUGCGGCUCAACCGUAAAAUUGCAGUUGAUACUGGGUGUCUUGAGUACAGUAGAGGCAGGCGGAAUUCGUGGUGUAGCGGUGAAAUGCUUAGAUAUCACGAAGAACUCCGAUUGCGAAGGCAGCUUGCUGGACUGUAACUGACGCUGAUGCUCGAAAGUGUGGGUAUCAAACAGGAUUAGAUACCCUGGUAGUCCACACAGUAAACGAUGAAUACUCGCUGUUUGCGAUAUACAGUAAGCGGCCAGGCGAAAGCGUUAAGUAUUCCACCUGGGGAGUACGCCGGCAACGGUGAAACUCAAAGGAAUUGACAGGGGCCCGCACAAGCGGAGGAACAUGUGGUUUAAUUC